UACGUAGGGGGCAAGCGUUGUCCGGAAUCAUUGGGCGUAAAGCGCGUGUAGGCGGCUGGCUAAGUCCGCUCUGAAAGCCCGGGGCUCAACCCCGGGAGGCGGGUGGAUACUGGUCAGCUCGAGUCCGGAAGAGGAGUGUGGAAUUCCUGGUGUAGCGGUGAAAUGCGCAGAUAUCAGGAGGAACACCAAUGGCGAAGGCAGCACUCUGGGACGGUACUGACGCUGAGACGCGAAAGCGUGGGGAGCGAACAGG
RNAcentral lists this ribosomal RNA (253 nucleotides) under uncultured bacterium. Its description in RNAcentral is "partial 16S ribosomal RNA". It matches the Rfam family "Bacterial small subunit ribosomal RNA", at positions 524 to 776 of the family's 1533-position model. The record is from RNAcentral.